RNAcentral lists this ribosomal RNA (243 nucleotides) under uncultured bacterium. Its description in RNAcentral is "partial 16S ribosomal RNA". It matches the Rfam family "Bacterial small subunit ribosomal RNA", at positions 535 to 776 of the family's 1533-position model. The record is from RNAcentral.
CAAGCGUUGUUCGGAUUUACUGGGCGUAAAGGGCGCGUAGGCGGCCAGCACAAGUCAGUUGUGAAAUCUCCGGGCUUAACUCGGAAAGGUCAGCUGAUACUGUGCGGCUAGAGUGCAGAAGGGGCAACUGGAAUUCUCGGUGUAGCGGUGAAAUGCGUAGAUAUCGAGAGGAACACCUGCGGCGAAGGCGGGUUGCUGGGCUGACACUGACGCUGAUGCGCGAAAGCCAGGGGAGCGAACGGG